Molecule: non-coding RNA, 225 nt
Organism: Vicia faba (fava bean)
Lineage: Eukaryota; Viridiplantae; Streptophyta; Magnoliopsida; Fabales; Fabaceae
Source: the annotation of a GenBank genome assembly
AUGUUUUCCGAUUCACCCUUGUUUCUUUCAUCUCAACCAAACAAAGAACCAAAAAAUGAAGAAAGAUACGAACUAAACUGCACCGUAUGCUACAGAUUCACGAGAUUUAGAUCAUCCAGAGACACGAAAUGUAUGGAAGAGUUCAAGACUCACCUACCGGAGAACUCCGGUAGCUCUUCAACGGUGACUUCGAACGAGAAAUCCAGAGAUGUUGAAGACGCAUGA